AUUGAACGCUGGCGGCAUGCCUUACACAUGCAAGUCGAACGGUAACAGGUCUUCGGACGCUGACGAGUGGCGAACGGGUGAGUAAUACAUCGGAACGUGCCCAGUCGUGGGGGAUAACUACUCGAAAGAGUAGCUAAUACCGCAUACGAUCUGAGGAUGAAAGCGGGGGACCUUCGGGCCUCGCGCGAUGGGAGGGGCCGAUGGCAGAUUAGGUAGGUGGUGGGAUAAAAGCUUACCAAGCCGACGAUCUGUAGCUGGUCUGAGAGGACGACCAGCCACACUGGGACUGAGACACGGCCCCGACUCCUACGGGAGGCAGCAGUGGGGAAUUUUGGACAAUGGGCGAAAGCCUGAUCCAGCAAUGCCGCGUGCAGGAUGAAGGCCUUCGGGUUGUAAACUGCUUUUGUACGGAACGAAAAAGUCUCCUCUAAUACAGGAGGCCCAUGACGGUACCGUAAGAAUAAGCACCGGCUAACUACGUGCCAGCCGCCGCAGUAA
RNAcentral lists this ribosomal RNA (498 nucleotides) under uncultured bacterium. Its description in RNAcentral is "partial 16S ribosomal RNA". It matches the Rfam family "Bacterial small subunit ribosomal RNA", at positions 30 to 523 of the family's 1533-position model. The record is from RNAcentral.